RNAcentral lists this ribosomal RNA (666 nucleotides) under uncultured fungus. RNAcentral describes it as "eukaryotic LSU rRNA". It matches the Rfam family "Eukaryotic large subunit ribosomal RNA", at positions 24 to 664 of the family's 3401-position model. Lineage: Eukaryota; Fungi. The record is from RNAcentral.
CCCGCUGAACUUAAGCAUAUCAAUAAGCGGAGGAAAAGAAACUAACAAGGAUUCCCCUAGUAACUGCGAGUGAAGCGGGAAAAGCUCAAAUUUAAAAUCUGAGGGUCCCUGUGGCCAUCCGAGUUGUAAUCUAGAGAAGUGCUACCUGUGCUGGACCGUGUACAAGUCUCCUGGAAUGGAGCAUCACAGAGGGUGAGAAUCCCGUCUUUGACACGGACUGCCAUGUGCGAUAUGGUGCGCUCUCGAAGAGUCGAGUUGUUUGGGAAUGCAGCUCAAAACGGGUGGUAAAUGCCAUCUAAAGCUAAAUAUUGGCGAGAGACCGAUAGCGAACAAGUACCGUGAGGGAAAGAUGAAAAGAACUUUGGAAAGAGAGUUAAACAGUACGUGAAAUUGUUGAAAGGGAAACGUUUGAAGUCAGUCGCGUCGGCCGAGACUCAGCCUUGCUUCCGCUCGGUGCACUUCUCGGUUGACGGGUCAGCAUCAAUUUCGACCGCCGGAUAAAGGUUGAGGGAACGUGACGUCUUUCGAGGUGUGUUAUAGCCCUCGAUUCGCAUACGGCGAUUGGGAUUGAAGAACUCAGCGCGCCUUUAUGGUCGGGGUAGCAACCCACGUAACGCGCUCAGGAUGCUGGCAUAAUGGCUUUAAGCGACCCGUCUUGAAACACGG